GCGUCGAUGGUGUAAUGGUUAGCAUCUCAGCCUUCCAAGCUUAGGAUCCGGGUUCGAGCCCCGGUCGGCGCA
This 72-nucleotide transfer RNA is filed under the name Candidatus Woesearchaeota archaeon. Its description in RNAcentral is "tRNA-Gly". It matches the Rfam family "tRNA". Rfam says of the family: Transfer RNA (tRNA) molecules are approximately 80 nucleotides in length. The record is from RNAcentral. Lineage: Archaea; Nanobdellati; Candidatus Woesearchaeota.